This is a long non-coding RNA of Oryzias melastigma (Indian medaka), 1128 nucleotides long. RefSeq lists it as uncharacterized. NCBI's taxonomy places the organism in Eukaryota, Metazoa, Chordata, Actinopteri, Beloniformes, Adrianichthyidae. The record is from RefSeq and is a predicted model, not a curated record. The transcript has 2 exons.
AAAAUUAAAAACCAAUUUGAUCUGAAAAAUAAUGACUUUUAUAGAUACUUGCAGCUGAUGCAUUAUUUAGAACAAAACAUAAUAAAAGUAAACCUAGAAGGGCCAGAAUUAAUGAUUACUAAAAUGUUUCCUUUAUCAUACAAGUCAAAUUUGGGCAGGAAGGUUAUUUCUAGACUGUAUACAGGACUUUGAAUCUGAAGAGACAGGAUACUGUGUAUUUAAAAGAGAAAUGGAAAUCAAUAGAGGACUGGGAGGAAAUUUGUGAAGAACAGUGGAAAACAACAUGUUCCUUGUUCUGGCGAGAAUUUGGAUAUUAUUUUGUGACACCAGCACAAAAAACACAUCAAAACAUGAGUUGUUGGAGGAUGUGUGGGGCAGAUAAGGCUAAUCACUUCCACAUAUUUUAGGACUGGCCGUUGAUAAACAUCAAAGUUGCAUAGAUGGGGCAUUGAAAUUAAGACUUCCAUUUAAAUUUGAAGUGUUUCAUUUGGGGAAGUGGACUGUAGAAGUUAAAAGAGCAAACAUAAAGAUGCUUAGAAUUAUGUAAAUUGCAGGAAAAAAAGCGUUUACUAGAAAAUGAAUGAAGGCUGAUAUUCCGAGUGCUUAUGACUGGAUGGACUUUAUCCAGGAAAUAUAUGUAAUGGAGAAGCUAACUUACUCUCUCAAAUUGGAAUGGGAAAAGUUUAAUUUUAUUUUUUUUAGAGAAUGGAAGAAAUACAUCAGCCCAAUAAGGGCAGAUUUUAUUUGACUUUGAAACAGCUGCUCAUCCUCAGUUAUGUUGCCACAAUUUAGGGUGUUCUCUCGUGUUUUUUUUUUGUUGCUCCUUUUGUUCUGGUACCUUAUUAUACUAAUAUUUUUUAUCUUUGAAAUAAUGAUGUAAAAAUGUAUUGAUUCAUAACGUUUUCAUCUAUGAAAGGUAAUGGUGUAGGUGAUGAGGAGCAUGAUGAUAAUCGAUAACAUGUGGAGAAUGAUCAUUGGAGUACAGUCCUGAGUGACAUGAUGCUUGUAAUCUAGAAUUUCAAGGUGGAAAUUUCCACCCACCGCUAAUCCAUGAACUGUUGUAACACCUGCUGAAAAAUUCAAUAAAAAAUUAAUAUAACAAAAGAAAAGAAAAACUAGAAAAAAAAA